Molecule: unclassified non-coding RNA, 2013 nt
Filed under: Hevea brasiliensis (rubber tree)
Lineage: Eukaryota; Viridiplantae; Streptophyta; Magnoliopsida; Malpighiales; Euphorbiaceae
Source: RNAcentral
CUAAAAAUCAACCCCAGCUUGUGAAAUUGUUAAUAAGCUGCAUAGUUGAUAUAAAUGAGAAGAAUGAUGAAGGUUUGACAGCUUUGGACUAUGUACGAGAUGAAAGUCAAGCUGAGAUUAAGGAUUUGCUAUGCAGUGCUGGAGCUGUCACAGCUUCUUCAGUCCUUACCAUUGAUAAUUAUGCUCCUUUCCUUAGAACGGAUCAGAAGUUGAAGAUGGCAGCUGAAGUGGGAGAUAUUCAAGGCUUGUAUUCAAUUAUAAAUGAGGAUCAAUAUAUUCUAGAGCGCAUUGAUCAGUUGCCAUUUACAGAUACUCCUUUGCACAUAGCUGCAUCCAAAGGGCGUACGCAGUUUGCUUUGGAGAUCAUAAGGUUGAAACCAUCAUUUGCAGAGAAGCUAAACCAAGAUGGGUUUAGCCCUAUGCACCUGGCCCUUCAAAACCAGAGUACUUUCCAAACUGCUUUGCGGCUUGCAGAUGUGAAUGAACAACUUAUUUGUCUCAAAGGAAGAAGGGGUCUAACUCCUUUACAUUUUGCAGCAGAAAAAGAGGAACUUGAACUUCUGGCAGGAUUAUUGAUAGCUUGUCCCAAAGCCAUUUAUGUUGUCACUGAACAUAAAGAAACUGCCUUGCAUAUUGCAGCGAAAAAUGAUAAGGUGGAAGCUCUGAAGGUCCUAUUUGGAUGGCUUGAACAGUAUGGAAAGAAUAAGGUGCUUAAUUGGAGCGAUGAUGAAGGCAACACCGUAUUGCAUAUUGCCAGUCGUAGGAAUCAAAUAGAGGUGGUCAGGCUCUUAAUUGGUGACGUGAUAUGUUUUCCCAGAGUUUUCCUUCCUAUUCGUAAGUUUUUAUCUGUUUCCAUCCCUGAAGCAAAAGUUGAUUUGAAUAUUAAAAACUCAGAAGGAUUAACAGCUGUGGAUAUUUUACAACAAGAGGCCCAACUGGACAUUAGGAUAAUUCAAGCUACGCGAGCACAUGCUAAAUUUUACGGACUUCCAUAUGGACCUGGUGCAACUGGUGCUGCAAAUUAUUUUAGGAGAAAGUUUUCGGGUACUGAAAAAUGGUUCAUAGGUGCUUACCGUGAAAAUUUGCUAAUGCCAAAUGGAAAUAGAAAUGCCGUACUUGUGGUUGCUGUAUUGAUUGCAACUGCCACAUACCAAGCUGUUCUCAGCCCCCCGGGUGGACUUUGGCAACCAGAUCCUGCUUCAUUUUCCUCCUACAGCUCUCCCUUUCAUACCACUACAAAUAACACUAACAUCAACCUAUUUGAACCUAAGCCUGGCAGUCCUGCUUUGGAUGAUAUCUGGUGGGCACUUUUUGCGAUGCUAAACAGUUUGGCCUUUUUUACUUCGUUAGAGAAAAUAAAUAUAAUCUUCCCUGGCGGCCUUUAUUCGAUUCUACCGCUCACAUUGCCAUUUGUCCUUUGCUAUUCUUUGUCAAUGAUUUUCAUCUUGCCUGUGACCAAACUGGCUCUGAUUGGAACAAGGUUAUUAGCUUUGUUUAUUGCCAUGAUAUAUGCACACACGUAUCGUUCUACAAUUGAGGGUCGUUGUAGAACACUAGUUAGAUUCAUCCCAUUCGUGCGGCUCCAGUUAAAGAACCAGGACCAGACCAUGCAGAAUGAAACAUGACUCAAUUCUUAACUCCAAUAAGUCUGUAACUCGUUGGAUCCCAAGUUCAUUAGGAUGUAACUAAUUGAAAGAAAAGAGUCUGAGAGAGAGAGGAGAAACAGAGGAUUUGAGAGGAGAGAGAGAGAGAUUUUCUUUUUUUGGCGGAAAGAGGAAGAAGAAUCUCGAUCGUAGCAAUUACACAUGUUGUCCACAAAUAUGGAAAUUGAAUUUAAAAAAGAUUUGCUAAUAGAAAGACAACUGCUAACGUGCUUUUUCUAGUUACGUUUAAUUAGAGUGAAAUUUGAAAUUUAGAUAAAUAGAAAUGCUUAUGAUAAUGUUUAUAUUUUAGAGUAUUGCUGUACCCGUAAGUGAUAUAUUACUUGCAGUUAAAAUAGUUUUGGAUAUUUUC